Molecule: ribosomal RNA, 489 nt
Filed under: uncultured bacterium
Lineage: Bacteria
Description: partial 16S ribosomal RNA
Rfam family: Bacterial small subunit ribosomal RNA
Source: RNAcentral
GACGAACGCUGGCGGCGUGCUUAACACAUGCCAGUCGAACGGUGAAGGGAUCAGCUUGCUGGUUCUGGAUGAGUGGCGAACGGGUGAGUAACACGUGAGUAACCUGCCCCCUUCUUCUGGAUAACCGCAUGAAAGUGUGGCUAAUACGGGAUAUUCUGGGUCUGUCGCAUGAUGGGUCUGGGAAAGAUAUUGUUUCGGUGGGGGAUGGGCUCGCGGCCUAUCAGCUUGUUGGUGGGGUGAUGGCCUACCAAGGCGGUGACGGGUAGCCGGCCUGAGAGGGUGGACGGUCACACUGGGACUGAGACACGGCCCAGACUCCUACGGGAGGCAGCAGUGGGGAAUAUUGCACAAUGGGCGCAAGCCUGAUGCAGCGACGCCGCGUGAGGGAUGGAGGCCUUCGGGUUGUAAACCUCUUUCGCCAGUGAAGCAGGCCUGCUCCUUGUGGGUGGGUUGACGGUAGCUGGAUAAGAAGCGCCGGCUAACUACGUG